This 253-nucleotide ribosomal RNA is filed under the name uncultured bacterium. RNAcentral's name for it is "partial 16S ribosomal RNA". It matches the Rfam family "Bacterial small subunit ribosomal RNA", at positions 524 to 776 of the family's 1533-position model. The record is from RNAcentral.
UACAGAGGCCCCGAGCGUUAUGCGGAAUCACUGGGCUUAAAGCGUGUGUAGGCGGACUUCUAAGUACCUUGUGAAAUCCCACAGCUUAACUGUGGAACUGCUUGGUAUACUGGUUGUCUUGAGGUACCUAGGGGCGAGCGGAACAAGUGGUGGAGCGGUGAAAUGCGUAGAUAUCACUUGGAACGCCAACGGUGAAAACAGCUCGCUGGGGGUAUCCUGACGCUGAGACACGAAAGCCAGGGGAGCAAACGGG